GAUGAACGCUGACAGAAUGCUUAACGCAUGCAAGUCUACUUGAACUUCGGUUUGGGUGGCGGACGGGUGAGUAACGCGUAAAGAACUUGCCUCACAGUUAGGGACAACAUUUGGAAACGAAUGCCAAUACCUGAUAUUAUGAUUUUAGGGCAUCCUAAGAUUAUGAAAGCUAUAUGCGCUGUGAGAGAGCUUUGCGUCCCAUUAGCUAGUUGGAGAGGUAACGGCUCACCAAGGCGAUGAUGGGUAGCCGGCCUGAGAGGGUGAACGGCCACAAGGGGACUGAGACACGGCCCUUACUCCUACGGGAGGCAGCAGUGGGGAAUAUUGGACAAUGGACCAAAAGUCUGAUCCAGCAAUUCUGUGUGCACGAUGACGUUUUUCGGAAUGUAAAGUGCUUUCAGUUGGGAAGAAAAAAAUGACGGUACCAACAGAAGAAGUGACGGCUAAAUACGUGCCAGCAGCCGCGGUAAUACGUAUGUCACAAGCGUUAUCCGGAUUUAUUGGGCGUAAAGCGCGUCUAGGUGGUUAUGUAAGUCUGAUGUGAAAAUGCAGGGCUCAACUCUGUAUUGCGUUGGAAACUGCAUGACUAGAGUACUGGAGAGGUAAGCGGAACUACAAGUGUAGAGGUGAAAUUCGUAGAUAUUUGUAGGAAUGCCGAUGGGGAAGCCAGCUUACUGGACAGAUACUGACGCUAAGCGCGAAAGCGUGGGUAGCAAACAGG
RNAcentral lists this ribosomal RNA (721 nucleotides) under uncultured Fusobacterium sp. Its description in RNAcentral is "bacterial SSU rRNA". It matches the Rfam family "Bacterial small subunit ribosomal RNA", at positions 28 to 776 of the family's 1533-position model. Lineage: Bacteria; Fusobacteriati; Fusobacteriota; Fusobacteriia; Fusobacteriales; Fusobacteriaceae. The record is from RNAcentral.